RNAcentral lists this ribosomal RNA (500 nucleotides) under uncultured bacterium. Its description in RNAcentral is "partial 16S ribosomal RNA". It matches the Rfam family "Bacterial small subunit ribosomal RNA", at positions 30 to 523 of the family's 1533-position model. The record is from RNAcentral.
AUUGAACGCUGGCGGCAUGCCUUACACAUGCAAGUCGAACGGCAGCACGGGAGCAAUCCUGGUGGCGAGUGGCGAACGGGUGAGUAAAGUAUCGGAACGUGCCCAGUCGUGGGGGAUAACGUAGCGAAAGUUACGCUAAUACCGCAUACGAUCUAUGGAUGAAAGCGGGGAAUCGCAAGACCUCGCGCGAUUGGACCGGCCGAUAUCAGAUUAGGUAGUUGGUGGGGUAAAGGCUCACCAAGCCGACGAUCUGUAGCUGGUCUGAGAGGACGACCAGCCACACUGGGACUGAGACACGGCCCAGACUCCUACGGGAGGCAGCAGUGGGGAAUUUUGGACAAUGGGCGAAAGCCUGAUCCAGCCAUGCCGCGUGCAGGAUGAAGGCCUUCGGGUUGUAAACUGCUUUUGUACGGAACGAAAAGGUUUGGGCUAAUAAGCUGAGCUCAUGACGGUACCGUAAGAAUAAGCACCGGCUAACUACGUGCCAGCCGCCGCGGUAA